AACGCACCUUGCACCCUUUGGUAUUCCGAAGGGUAUGCUCGUUUGAGUGUCAUUGUACUCUCACACUCCUGAUCAUUUGGUUGGGAGCGGUGGACUUGGGUGUUGCUGCUUCACCGUGGCUCACCUUAAAUGCGUUAGUGCACCUUUCGGUUGGACAUAGUACGGCGUGAUACGUGUCUUCGCCGGCACCUCACAGAGGGUGGCCGAUCGGGAGCUCUGUGCUUCCAACUGUCCUCGGACAACUGUUGACAACUUGGCCUCAAAUCGAGUAGGACUACCCGCUGAACUUAAGCAUAUCAAUAGGAGG
This 307-nucleotide ribosomal RNA is filed under the name uncultured Sebacinaceae. Its description in RNAcentral is "eukaryotic LSU rRNA". The record is from RNAcentral. Lineage: Eukaryota; Fungi; Basidiomycota; Agaricomycetes; Sebacinales; Sebacinaceae.